UUAAUGGGCUUUGUUUCAGAUUUUAUCAUCAUUAAUAAAAUGUUAUUUCGUUUAUCCAUAUUAUGUUUUUCCUUUUUCACUUUUUUUGGAAAAAUGGUAACAUAAAAAAGCAAGAUAAUAAUCACUUUUAUAUCUGCAUCGCAAUGUGUGUUUAUUUUUUCAUAUUCUAAAAUCAAGCAUAAAAUCAUUGUGCAAAUUAAUUAUUAAACCCAUUGAAAACAAUGACCUUAUGCC
Molecule: long non-coding RNA, 234 nt
Filed under: Lathyrus oleraceus (garden pea)
Lineage: Eukaryota; Viridiplantae; Streptophyta; Magnoliopsida; Fabales; Fabaceae
Description: Pisum sativum (pea) long non-coding RNA (PSAT_LNC009540)
Source: RNAcentral